GAUGAAGAACGCAGCGAAAUGCGAUACGUAAUGUGAAUUGCAGAAUUCAGUGAAUCAUCGAGUCUUUGAACGCACAUUGCGCCCCCUGGUAUUCCGGGGGGCAUGCCUGUCCGAGCGUCAUUGCUGCCCUCAAGCACGGCUUGUGUGUUGGGUCUCCGUCCUCCUCCCGGGGGACGGGCCCGAAAGGCAGCGGCGGCACCGCGUCCGGUCCUCGAGCGUAUGGGGCUUCGUCACCCGCUCUUGUAGGCCCGGCCGGCGCUUGCCGACACAUCAAUCUUUUUUCCAGGUUGACCUCGGAUCAGGUAGGGAUACCCGCUGAACUUAAGCAUAUCAAUAAGCGGAGGA
RNAcentral lists this unclassified non-coding RNA (345 nucleotides) under soil metagenome. RNAcentral describes it as "partial contains 5.8S ribosomal RNA, internal transcribed spacer 2, and large subunit ribosomal RNA". The stretch from base 1 to 120 matches the Rfam family "5.8S ribosomal RNA", at positions 35 to 154 of the family's 154-position model. The record is from RNAcentral.